Molecule: RNA transcript, 1620 nt
Organism: Phlebotomus argentipes
Lineage: Eukaryota; Metazoa; Arthropoda; Insecta; Diptera; Psychodidae
Gene name: retinol dehydrogenase 14-like
Exons: 3
Source: RefSeq, a predicted model, not a curated record
UUGUGACCGUCAAAGCGAAAUGGAGUUCAUUGAGCAAACUGGAAGUUGGAAGGAGCUUUUCAAUGAAAAGUACCUUCUUGGCGCAGGAGCGGCUGUUUUGCUGAUGUUCUUCUACAGACGGUAUCUCGAAGGCGGUCAAUUCAGAAAGGAUGACGUAAAAAUGGACGGGAAAGUCGUGAUUAUAACAGGAGCGAACACAGGAAUUGGAAAGGAAACCGCGUUGGAUUUGGCGAGGAGAAAUGCCAAAAUCUACUUGGCGUGCAGAGAUCGCGAUCGUUGCGAAGCUGCGCGACAGGAAAUCAUUCAAGAAACAGGAAACACAAAGAUUUACAAUCGUCAUCUCGACUUGACAACUCUAAAAUCAGUGAGAGAAUUUGCUGAAAACUUCUGCAAGGAAGAAAAGCAUUUGGAUGUUCUCAUCAACAAUGCUGGAGUCUUUUUCAUUCCUCACUCAAUGACUCAAGAUGGCUGUGAAUCAACCUUGCAAAUCAACCAUUUAUCGCACUUUCUGCUGUCUCAUCUUCUGCUCGAUCACCUGAAGAAAGCUCCGCAAGGAAGAAUCGUGAACGUCUCGAGUUAUCUUUACACCAGAGCCAAGAUUGAUAAGAACGAUCUUCAUUUGCAAAAGUCUUUUGACAAAUCUUUGGCUUAUGGGAAUUCGAAACUCGCUCAAGUUCUCACAACUCAACGAUUUGCCAAGGAAUUGAAAGGAACUAAUGUGACGGUGUACAGUCUUCAUCCUGGAGUCAUUCAAACUGAAAUCGGAAGGAAUAUGAACAUUCCAAAGUUCGUCGAAUGGAUAUUUAAUCCUCUCUUCCGCAUUUUGAUUACAAAAUCUGUUAAAUCCGGCGCUCAGACGACAAUUCGAUGCGCUGUUGAUCCUGAACUGUCCAGAGUUUCUGGAAAAUACUUCAGGUGCGUUUUCUUCUCACCAUUUAAGCUUUUUUCUAAUAAUUUUCAAUGUAUAUUUUGCAGUGACUGUGAAGAAGUAAAAGAGAAACACAUGAAAGCUCAAGCGAAGGACGAAGAAAUCAGUGAUUUUAUCUGGAAAGAGAGUCUUCGUCUGACCAAGAUUCCCAGUGAUUUUGCAUAUGGCAAGAAAUAUCAAUAAUUUCUAUUAUCAGUUUGUAAGCACUGUACUUGAAUAAAGCAUCAGAGGCAAGCGGAAAGUGAGCGAUUGAGAUAUAAAUAUAUUGUGAAGUGCAUGAGAACGAGUAGGCAAAAGUUCAACCUUGCAAUUGGUCUCACAACAAUUAUCAAAGUUAAUGGCUUUUGUCUUCUCUCGCUGCCCAUGACAAAAAUAACUGGGCAAAAAGAGACCCGAAACCUGCUUAUUUGACGCCGUGACUCGACAUUUGCGGGCUGUUUUUGCCGGAAUACGCCAAAGUAGUGACAGAACGUGGUGAAAAAUGCUGAGAACAGUGGUCAGGAGGACUCUAAUGGUCCUUAAUGUGUUAUGGACAAUCGCUUUGGCGAUGCCGAGGAGAUUCCUCGCGCCAGUCAAAAAGUACACUCAAGGCGGGCAGUUCCGGAAGACUCAUUUGAUGCUGGAGGACAAAGUUGUCGUGAUCACUGGAGGAGAAUCAGCACAGGAGAUUGCAGUGAAUCUGGCGCGCAGAG